This 276-nucleotide long non-coding RNA is filed under the name Panax ginseng (ginseng). RNAcentral describes it as "long non-coding RNA (PGIN_LNC003372)". The record is from RNAcentral. Lineage: Eukaryota; Viridiplantae; Streptophyta; Magnoliopsida; Apiales; Araliaceae.
UUGUCUAUCAGGUCCUGGAUCUUGUGUUUCAAGGCCCAUCAAUCCUGAGUAUCAUGUCCAGGUGCCCCGACAUGAUAAGCGCAUUUCCGAACAGCAUUAAAACCCUGUCCAUUAGGGCUGGCUGGUGGAAGAAGAUGCGUGAUUUUCUUCUGCGUUGUCAGAAGAUUGAGAAUGUUCUCGAGGGUAUCCCCCAAGGGUGUAAACACUUGAGGGCAUUUGACUUCUCCACCUUUUGGUAUUGGAGGGUUCGCAGACUGUGCUUGAAAGGGAGUGUAG